GAUGAAGAACGCAGCGAAAUGCGAUAAUUAAUGUGAAUUGCAGAAUUUAGUGAAUCAUCGAAUCUUUGAACGCACAUUGCGCCCGCCAGUAUUCUGGCGGGCAUGCCUGUUCGAGCGUCAUUUCAACCAUCAAGCCCCCGGCUUGUGUUGGGGACCUGCGGCUGCCGCAGGCCCUGAAAACCAGUGGCGGGCUCGCUAGUCACUCCGAGCGUAGUAAUACAUCUCGCUCAGGGCGUGCUGCGGGUUCCGGCCGUUAAAAAAGCCUUAUUUACCCAAGGUUGACCUCGGAUCAGGUAGGAAGACCCGCUGAACUUAAGCAUAUCAAUAAGCGGAGGA
This 336-nucleotide unclassified non-coding RNA is filed under the name soil metagenome. Its description in RNAcentral is "partial contains 5.8S ribosomal RNA, internal transcribed spacer 2, and large subunit ribosomal RNA". The stretch from base 1 to 120 matches the Rfam family "5.8S ribosomal RNA", at positions 35 to 154 of the family's 154-position model. The record is from RNAcentral.